AACGAACGCUGGCGGCAUGCCUAACACAUGCAAGUCGAACGAGACCUUCGGGUCUAGUGGCGCACGGGUGCGUAACGCGUGGGAACCUGCCCUUAGGUUCGGAAUAACUCCCCGAAAGGGGUGCUAAUACCGGAUAAUGUCUUCGGACCAAAGAUUUAUCGCCUUUGGAUGGGCCCGCGUUGGAUUAGCUAGUUGGUAGGGUAAAAGCCUACCAAGGCGACGAUCCAUAGCUGGUCUGAGAGGAUGAUCAGCCAGACUGGGACUGAGACACGGCCCAGACUCCUACGGGAGGCAGCAGUGGGGAAUAUUGGACGAUGGGGGAAAGCCUGAUCCAGCAAUGCCGCGGGAGUGAUGAAGGCCUUAGUGUUGUAAAGCUCUUUUACCCGGGAUGAUAAUGACAGUACCGGGAGAAUAAGCUCCGGCUAACUCCGUG
RNAcentral lists this ribosomal RNA (433 nucleotides) under uncultured bacterium. RNAcentral describes it as "partial 16S ribosomal RNA". It matches the Rfam family "Bacterial small subunit ribosomal RNA", at positions 29 to 507 of the family's 1533-position model. The record is from RNAcentral.